GAUGAACGCUGGCGGCGUGCCUAAUACAUGCAAGUCGAGCGAACAGACGCGGAGCUUGCUCCUCUGACGUUAGCGGCGGACGGGUGUGUAACACGUGGAUAACCUCCCUAUAAGACUGGGAUAACUUCGGGAAACCGGCGCUAAUACCGUAUAAUAUCUUGAACCGCAUGGUUCAAUAGUGAAAGACGGUUUUGCUGUCACUUAUAGAUGGAUCCGCGCCGCAUUAGCUAGUUGGUAAGGUAACGGCUUACCAAGGCGACGAUGCGUAGCCGACCUGAGAGGGUGAUCGGCCACACUGGAACUGAGCCACGGUCAAGACUCCUACGGGAGGCAGCAGUAGGGAAUCUUCCGCAAUGGGCGAAAGCCUGACGGAGCAACGCCGAGUGAGUGAUGAAGGUCUUCGGAUCGUAAAACUCUGUUAUUAGGGAAGAACAAAUGUGGAAGGAACUAUGCACGUCUUGACGGUACCGAAUCAGAAAGCCACGGCUAACUACGUG
RNAcentral lists this ribosomal RNA (497 nucleotides) under uncultured bacterium. Its description in RNAcentral is "partial 16S ribosomal RNA". It matches the Rfam family "Bacterial small subunit ribosomal RNA", at positions 28 to 507 of the family's 1533-position model. The record is from RNAcentral.